This 874-nucleotide long non-coding RNA is filed under the name Oreochromis niloticus (Nile tilapia). RNAcentral describes it as "lncRNA (ENSONIG00000036633.1)". Lineage: Eukaryota; Metazoa; Chordata; Actinopteri; Cichliformes; Cichlidae. The record is from RNAcentral.
AUGUUGGCGACCAAAGGCCGGAUUCAGGGACGUGUGCUGCUUGUGCUACUCGCGUUACGUGGGCAAACUGCUCGCUGUCAUCAUCGAUACAAAGGCUCUGCGACCCGUGAAGAACUGAGACUCCUUCUGGUCGGUAAAACAGGCUCGAGAAAGAGUGCGUCCGGAAACACCAUCCUGGGGGAUGCGUACGCUUUCAAAGAGGACGUUUCGCCCGAGUCUCUCACCGACAGCUGUCUCAGAAAAGAGGCAGAGGGCGACAAACUGGUGGGAGAGGAUGUGGUGAAAAUCGGCCAGCUGCGGCUGGUCACAGAGUGUUACAAAGGAGAUUACUGAGAUUCGUUUGUAACAAAAGGCUGAUUCUUUCAAUGCACGCAUCCUACGGUGAGAUUUAUAUCAUGUAUUCACAGCCACCAGAGGCGCUGUACAGCACCGAGUGCCUGAAACACAGACAGUUUGUUGAUAUUUUUUAAUGUAAACCUUCUUUUUUUUUCAUGUAAACCUGUUCUUGACAUAUCUACUGAGAUUCGUUUGUCUUGAAAGGCUGAUUCAACCCCGUUGUUGACUUUUAUUUUGCCUUCCAGAUUGCCUCAGUUGUAUCGUGAGUGUAAUUUCAAAUAAAUUAAAAUAAAACUCAGAAGCAUCUGUGUGUUGUAUUCUUCUUCUUCUUCUUCUUCUCAUUAUUAUUAUUAUUAUUAUUAUUAUUAUUAUUAUUAUUAUUAUUACCAUUAUUAUUAUUAUUAUUGUGAUUAUGCUUCAUUUUCAUGUACUGGGGUAUCAAUGACCCCCAUGGUGCCGCAGCAGCUUCUGUGCGUGGUCCCCAAGUGCUACGUUUUCUUUCCCGAUCCCCUGACGAACCCAUUAGAAUCGCUCUGGG